AACUAGAGUCUUGUAGAGGGGGGUAGAAUUUCAGGUGUAGCGGUGAAAUGCGUAGAGAUCUGAAGGAAUACCGGUGGCGAAGGCGGCCCCCUGGACAAAGACUGACGCUCAGGUACGAAAGCGUGGGGAGCAAACAGGAUUAGAUACCCUGGUAGUCCACGCCGUAAACGAUGUCUACUCGGAGUUUGGUACCUU
This 195-nucleotide ribosomal RNA is filed under the name uncultured bacterium. RNAcentral's name for it is "partial 16S ribosomal RNA". It matches the Rfam family "Bacterial small subunit ribosomal RNA", at positions 639 to 833 of the family's 1533-position model. The record is from RNAcentral.